GUGCCAGCAGCUGCGGUAAUACGGAGGGUGCAAGCGUUAAUCGGAAUUACUGGGCGUAAAGCGCACGCAGGCGGUCUGUCAAGUCGGAUGUGAAAUCCCCGGGCUCAACCUGGGAACUGCAUUCGAAACUGGCAGGCUAGAGUCUUGUAGAGGGGGGUAGAAUUCCAGGUGUAGCGGUGAAAUGCGUAGAGAUCUGGAGGAAUACCGGUGGCGAAGGCGGCCCCUGGACAAAGACUGACGCUCAGGUGCGAAAGCGUGGGGAGCAAACAGGAUUAGAUACCCUGGUAGUCCACGCCGUAAACGAUGUCGAUUUGGAGGUUGUGCCCUUGAGCGUGGCUUCCGGAGCUAACGCGUUAAAUCGACCGCCUGGGGAUACGGCCG
Molecule: ribosomal RNA, 381 nt
Filed under: uncultured bacterium
Lineage: Bacteria
Description: bacterial SSU rRNA
Rfam family: Bacterial small subunit ribosomal RNA
Source: RNAcentral